Long non-coding RNA from Callithrix jacchus (white-tufted-ear marmoset), 1656 nucleotides. NCBI's taxonomy places the organism in Eukaryota, Metazoa, Chordata, Mammalia, Primates, Cebidae. The record is from Ensembl.
GGGCAUAGAGACUUGCCUUUUCUCAGCUGGGCAUGAGCCUGAUGCUGCUAGUGGCCUGCCUGGCUAUUACAAAAAAAAAUUUUUUUUUGAGACGGAGUUUCGCUCUUGUUACCCAGGCUGGAGUGAGACUCCAUCUCAAAAAAAAAAAAAAAAAAAAAAAAAAAGAAGAAACUGGGGCCCACCCUCCGUGGAGUCCCCUGUGGAACAGCCUCUUCAAGGGUCUCAUCCCCACCUCAGCAGCUUCUCAAAGCUAUGCUUUCAAACCCACAUGUUUCUCCCAGGGACAUUUUAGCAGUGCUUAGACAUUGGUGCCUUAGAUACCUUCUGACUCUGUCCCCUUCAUCUAGUUCAAGGGUCAACAGGAGACCCCUAAAACUCAGGGACUGGGACCAAAAUGCUGAGUAGGUUGCCUGAGGCCACACAGCCUGGAGUUGACCUCAGCUCCUUCUGACGCAAUGUGUGGUCUGGGACCAGCACUAACAUAGCUGGGAAUAUUAUUAGAAAUGCAGAAUCCUGGGCCCCACCCCAGACCUACUGAGUCAGAAUCUGCAUUUUAACAAAUCUCCAAGUGACCCAUAUGCACACUGAAGCUUGAAAAGUAGUGCUGCUGGCCAAACAAAAAGAAGAAAAAUGCCAGAAAACUAACUUUGGUUGGAUUGAAACAAGGACAUUAGAAAGAGUUAUUGUUUCUCUUCUACACAUUCCAAAAUGUGGUUAUAUUACUUUUGUAAUGAAGAAAAAAAAAAAAACGCUUAAAAUUUAAGAAAAUCUGAGACACAAAAUUACACAAUGUCAUAAAACUAGUAAAUUAUGAAGUGGUUAUGUGCAUUUAAAAGCAGGUCCCAUUUACAGUCUGUUAUUGCUUUUUGCUUCAAUUGUUCUUUCUUGCUUUCUUAUUUCUCCUCCCUUCCUCUCUUCCUACCCCUGCCUUCUUCCUUUCUUUUAAAAGUGCCCCAAAGAUGGAAACAGAGGUACUUUUGAAGGCAGGCUCGGGCCUCACCCCCUUGGGAAUGGCUGGUGCAGGGAAGGGCAUCUUCUGUCUGCAAAGGGAGCAUAUUAUAAUACAGGUCUUACCAAAAGUGAAUAGGGGUGAACAUUUCCAUGUUUACUGAAAUAAAAAACAAUAAAUGAUUCAAGUGUUAAGCGUGAUUUGUGCCUUACCUUUUCUCGCUGGUGAUCUCCCUUCAUUAAUUUUUUUUCUGUCUACACAGGAUGAAGUCCCCUUCCUUUUCCCAAAUUUCUCAAGGUUUUUAAGCCCCCAAACUGCUGACUUCAGACUUGGCCUCUUUGCCUAGUUUACUCUUACUCGUCCUUCAGCACUUGGCAUGAAUGUCACUUCUCAGGGAAGCUUUCCAAAACCCUUUAGUCCUGUAUCAGGCACAGCUCUUGAUUGCAAGUGGUGGAAAAACAAACUUAAAGUGACUGAAGUCAAAAAGGGGUGACUGUUGGUUCACAUAAUGGAAAAGCCCAGCUAGUAUCUGGCUUCAGGUAUAGUUAGAUCUAGGAUCUCAAAUGACAUUGCCAGAAACUGCUUAAUGACAAAUCUCUCACCUUUCCUCUGUGAGGCGCCAGCCUUAAGCAAGCUCUCCCCUGGGACUCCUAAGUAAGCUCCAGAUAGUUGAGCUUCCAGCUUAGAAACCCCAGUUGAAAGAGAAC